This 1512-nucleotide unclassified non-coding RNA is filed under the name uncultured fungus. RNAcentral's name for it is "sequence contains 18S rRNA gene, ITS1, 5.8S rRNA gene, ITS2, 28S rRNA gene". The stretch from base 556 to 1512 matches the Rfam family "Eukaryotic large subunit ribosomal RNA", at positions 1 to 961 of the family's 3401-position model. Lineage: Eukaryota; Fungi. The record is from RNAcentral.
GGAAGGAUCAUUAACAAGCCGUGAGGGUCGCCCUGAAAGGGGAGUUGACCUGUCACCUGGCCACCCUUGUUUACUCUUAACCUGUUGCUUUGGUGGGCCCGCCGCAAGGCCGCUGGGGGACCUUUUUGGUUUCCGGGCCAGUGCCCACCAAAGACCUAAUGAAAACUCUGAGAGGGAUUUCUGCUGUCUGAGCCGUGUAAAAAAUGCGGUCUUUAUAAAACUUUCAACAACGGAUCUCUUGGUUCUGGCAUCGAUGAAGAACGCAGCGAAAUGCGAUAAGUAAUGUGAAUUGCAGAAUUCCGUGAAUCAUCGAAUCUUUGAACGCAUAUUGCGCCCUCUGGUAUUCCGGAGGGCAUGCCUGUUCGAGCGUCAUUCCUUACCUUCAAGCACGGCUUGUGUGUUGAGCAUCUGUUCCUUUCUUGUGGACAGGCUUAAAAUGCAGUGGCAAUGUCGAGUUUGGAGCCCGAGCGUAUGGGGCUUUGUCACACGCUCUGGUGGCACCGGCUUGCAUUCGGCCUAAAAGAAUAUAACCCUAAAAUAUUCACAAAUUUCGAUUGACCUCGGAUCAGGCAGGGUUACCCGCUGAACUUAAGCAUAUCAAUAAGCGGAGGAAAAGAAACCAACAGGGAUUGCCUCAGUAACGGCGAGUGAAGCGGCAAAAGCUCAAAUUUGAAAUCUGGCUUCCAGUUUAUGGAGCCCGAGUUGUAAUUUGCAGAGGAUGCUUUGGGUGCGGUGGCGGUUUAAGUCCCCUGGAACGGGGCAUCAUAGAGGGUGAGAAUCCCGUCUGCGACCGCCGGCCCUGCCCGUGUAAAGCUCCUUCGACGAGUCGAGUUGUUUGGGAAUGCAGCUCUAAAUGGGUGGUAAAUUUCAUCUAAAGCUAAAUACCGGCCAGAGACCGAUAGCGCACAAGUAGAGUGAUCGAAAGAUGAAAAGCACUUUGAAAAGAGAGUUAAAAAGCAUGUGAAAUUGUUGAAAGGGAAGCGCUUGCGACCAGACUCGACCGCGGAGGCUCAGCCGUCAUGCUUUUGGCGGUGCACUCCUUCGUGUUUGUCGGGCCAGCGUCGGUUCCGACGGCUGGUUAAAGACUCCCGGAAUGUGUCGUCCUUCGGGGCGUCUUAUAGCCGGGGGUGUAAUGCAGCCUGUUGGGACCGAGGAACGCGCUUCGGCACGGACGCUGGCGUAAUGGUCGUAAGCGACCCGUCUUGAAACACGGACCAAGGAGUCUAACAUCCACGCGAGUGUUCGGGUGUCAAACCCGUGCGCGCAGUGAAAGCGAACGGAGGUGGGAACCUGUGUAUCGCAGGUGCACCAUCGACCGAUCCUGAUGUCUUCGGAUGGAUUUGAGUAAGAGCGUGGCUGUUGGGACCCGAAAGAUGGUGAACUAUGCCAGAAUAGGGUGAAGCCAGAGGAAACUCUGGUGGAGGCUCGCAGCGGUUCUGACGUGCAAAUCGAUCGUCAAAUUUUGGCAUAGGGGCGAAAGACUAAUCGAACCAUCUGGUAGCUGGUUCCUGC